AUUGAACGCUGGCGGCGUGCCUAACACAUGCAAGUCGAGCGGAGCGGGGAACGGGUGAGUAACGCGAGAGUAACUGCCCCCCUAUCUGGGAUAAAAUUUGGAAACGGCUGCUAAUACCGGACAGUGGGGGAUGUCUCGCGACCUAUCAGCUUGUCGGUGGGGUAGUAGCCUCCCACGGCGACGACGGGUAGCCGGCCGGCGAGUGCGACCGGCCGCAUUGCUCUGAGUUACUGCCCAAACGCGUACGGGGGGCAGCAGUGGCGAGUAUUGCACAGGGGUGGAGACUCUGAUGCGGCACCGCCGCGGUCGGGAUGACGGCCUUCGUGUUGUAACCCGCUUUCAGCCAUGACGCGGUAGUGGCAGAAGAAGCACCGGCUAACUUCGUGCCAGCAGCCGCGGUAAUAC
RNAcentral lists this ribosomal RNA (405 nucleotides) under uncultured bacterium. RNAcentral's name for it is "partial 16S ribosomal RNA". It matches the Rfam family "Bacterial small subunit ribosomal RNA", at positions 28 to 526 of the family's 1533-position model. The record is from RNAcentral.